Molecule: ribosomal RNA, 2906 nt
Filed under: Escherichia coli
Lineage: Bacteria; Pseudomonadati; Pseudomonadota; Gammaproteobacteria; Enterobacterales; Enterobacteriaceae
Description: bacterial LSU rRNA
Rfam family: Bacterial large subunit ribosomal RNA
Source: RNAcentral
UUAAGCGACUAAGCGUACACGGUGGAUGCCUGGCAGUCAGAGGCGAUGAAGGACGUGCUAAUCUGCGAUAAGCGUCGGUAAGGUGAUAUGAACCGUUAUAACCGGCGAUUUCCGAAUGGGGAAACCCAGUUGUGAUUUCGUCACACUAUCAUUAACUGAAUCCAUAGGUUAAUGAGGCGAACCGGGGGAACUGAAACAUCUAAGUACCCCGAGGAAAAGAAAUCAACCGAGAUUCCCCCAGUAGCGGCGAGCGAACGGGGAGCAGCCCAGAGCCUGAAUCAGUGUGUGUGUUAGUGGAAGCGUCUGGAAAGGCACGCGAUACAGGGUGACAGCCCCGUACACAAAAAUGCACAUGCUGUGAGCUCGAUGAGUAGGGCGGGACACGUGGUAUCCUGUCUGAAUAUGGGGGGACCAUCCUCCAAGGCUAAAUACUCCUGACUGACCGAUAGUGAACCAGUACCGUGAGGGAAAGGCGAAAAGAACCCCGGCGAGGGGAGUGAAAAAGAACCUGAAACCGUGUACGUACAAGCAGUGGGAGCACGCUUAGGCGUGUGACUGCGUACCUUUUGUAUAAUGGGUCAGCGACUUAUAUUCUGUAGCAAGGUUAACCGAAUAGGGGAGCCGAAGGGAAACCGAGUCUUAACUGGGCGUUAAGUUGCAGGGUAUAGACCCGAAACCCGGUGAUCUAGCCAUGGGCAGGUUGAAGGUUGGGUAACACUAACUGGAGGACCGAACCGACUAAUGUUGAAAAAUUAGCGGAUGACUUGUGGCUGGGGGUGAAAGGCCAAUCAACCGGGAGAUAGCUGGUUCUCCCCGAAAGCUAUUUAGGUAGCGCCUCGUGAAUUCAUCUCCGGGGGUAGAGCACUGUUUCGGCAAGGGGGUCAUCCCGACUUACCAACCCGAUGCAAACUGCGAAUACCGGAGAAUGUUAUCACGGGAGACACACGGCGGGUGCUAACGUCCGUCGUGAAGAGGGAAACAACCCAGACCGCCAGCUAAGGUCCCAAAGUCAUGGUUAAGUGGGAAACGAUGUGGGAAGGCCCAGACAGCCAGGAUGUUGGCUUAGAAGCAGCCAUCAUUUAAAGAAAGCGUAAUAGCUCACUGGUCGAGUCGGCCUGCGCGGAAGAUGUAACGGGGGCUAAACCAUGCACCGAAGCUGCGGCAGCGACACUAUGUGUUGUUGGGUAGGGGGAGCGUUCUGUAAGCCUGUGAAGGUGUGCUGUGAGGCAUGCUGGAGGUAUCAGAAGUGCGAAUGCUGACAUAAGUAACGAUAAAGCGGGUGAAAAGCCCGCUCGCCGGAAGACCAAGGGUUCCUGUCCAACGUUAAUCGGGGCAGGGUGAGUCGACCCCUAAGGCGAGGCCGAAAGGCGUAGUCGAUGGGAAACAGGUUAAUAUUCCUGUACUUGGUGUUACUGCGAAGGGGGGGACGGAGAAGGCUAUGUUGGCCGGGCGACGGUUGUCCCGGUUUAAGCGUGUAGGCUGGUUUUCCAGGCAAAUCCGGAAAAUCAAGGCUGAGGCGUGAUGACGAGGCACUACGGUGCUGAAGCAACAAAUGCCCUGCUUCCAGGAAAAGCCUCUAAGCAUCAGGUAACAUCAAAUCGUACCCCAAACCGACACAGGUGGUCAGGUAGAGAAUACCAAGGCGCUUGAGAGAACUCGGGUGAAGGAACUAGGCAAAAUGGUGCCGUAACUUCGGGAGAAGGCACGCUGAUAUGUAGGUGAAGUCCCUCGCGGAUGGAGCUGAAAUCAGUCGAAGAUACCAGCUGGCUGCAACUGUUUAUUAAAAACACAGCACUGUGCAAACACGAAAGUGGACGUAUACGGUGUGACGCCUGCCCGGUGCCGGAAGGUUAAUUGAUGGGGUUAGCGCAAGCGAAGCUCUUGAUCGAAGCCCCGGUAAACGGCGGCCGUAACUAUAACGGUCCUAAGGUAGCGAAAUUCCUUGUCGGGUAAGUUCCGACCUGCACGAAUGGCGUAAUGAUGGCCAGGCUGUCUCCACCCGAGACUCAGUGAAAUUGAACUCGCUGUGAAGAUGCAGUGUACCCGCGGCAAGACGGAAAGACCCCGUGAACCUUUUACUAUAGCUUGACACUGAACAUUGAGCCUUGAUGUGUAGGAUAGGUGGGAGGCUUAGAAGUGUGGACGCCAGUCUGCAUGGAGCCGACCUUGAAAUACCACCCUUUAAUGUUUGAUGUUCUAACGUUGACCCGUAAUCCGGGUUGCGGACAGUGUCUGGUGGGUAGUUUGACUGGGGCGGUCUCCUCCUAAAGAGUAACGGAGGAGCACGAAGGUUGGCUAAUCCUGGUCGGACAUCAGGAGGUUAGUGCAAUGGCAUAAGCCAGCUUGACUGCGAGCGUGACGGCGCGAGCAGGUGCGAAAGCAGGUCAUAGUGAUCCGGUGGUUCUGAAUGGAAGGGCCAUCGCUCAACGGAUAAAAGGUACUCCGGGGAUAACAGGCUGAUACCGCCCAAGAGUUCAUAUCGACGGCGGUGUUUGGCACCUCGAUGUCGGCUCAUCACAUCCUGGGGCUGAAGUAGGUCCCAAGGGUAUGGCUGUUCGCCAUUUAAAGUGGUACGCGAGCUGGGUUUAGAACGUCGGUGAGACAGUUCGGUCCCUAUCUGCCGUGGGCGCUGGAGAACUGAGGGGGGCUGCUCCUAGUACGAGAGGACCGGAGUGGACGCAUCACUGGUGUUCGGGUUGUCAUGCCAAUGGCACUGCCCGGUAGCUAAAUGCGGAAGAGAUAAGUGCUGAAAGCAUCUAAGCACGAAACUUGCCCCGAGAUGAGUUCUCCCUGACUCCUUGAGAGUCCUGAAGGAACGUUGAAGACGACGACGUUGAUAGGCCGGGUGUGUAAGCGCAGCGAUGCGUUGAGCUAACCGGUACUAAUGAACCGUGAGGCUUAACCUU